GACAGAGGUGCCGAGCGUUAGGCGGAAUCACUGGGCUUAAAGCGUGUGUAGGCGGACGGGUAAGUACCUUGUGAAAUCCCACGGCUCAACCGUGGAACUGCUGGGUAUACUGCCUGUCUUGAGUCAUCUAGGGGCGAGCGGAACAAAUGGUGGAGCGGUGAAAUGCGUAGAUAUCCGGAGGAACACCGACGGCGUAGGCAGCGCCCUGGAC
This 211-nucleotide ribosomal RNA is filed under the name uncultured bacterium. RNAcentral describes it as "partial 16S ribosomal RNA". It matches the Rfam family "Bacterial small subunit ribosomal RNA", at positions 524 to 734 of the family's 1533-position model. The record is from RNAcentral.